RNAcentral lists this ribosomal RNA (253 nucleotides) under uncultured bacterium. Its description in RNAcentral is "partial 16S ribosomal RNA". It matches the Rfam family "Bacterial small subunit ribosomal RNA", at positions 524 to 776 of the family's 1533-position model. The record is from RNAcentral.
UACGUAGGGGGCGAGCGUUGUCCGGAGUUACUGGGCGUAAAGCGUGCGCAGGCGGUGCUGUAAGACAGGGGUGAAAUCCCCGGGCUUAACCUGGGAACUGCAUUUGUGACUGCAUCGCUGGAGUGCGGCAGAGGGGGAUGGAAUUCCGCGUGUAGCAGUGAAAUGCGUAGAUAUGCGGAGGAACACCGAUGGCGAAGGCAAUCCCCUGGGCCUGCACUGACGCUCAUGCACGAAAGCGUGGGGAGCAAACAGG